GUCGCGUGAAGGAAGACNGCCCUACGGGUUGUAAACUUNUUUUGUAAGGGAAUAAAGUGAGUCACGUGUGACUUUUUGCAUGUACCUUACGAAUAAGGAUCGGCUAACUCCGUGCCAGCAGCCGCGGUAAUACGGAGGAUCCGAGCGUUAUCCGGAUUUAUUGGGUUUAAAGGGUGCGCAGGCGGGAGAUUAAGUCGGCGGUGAAAUUUUGCAGCUCAACUGUAAAAGUGCCAUCGAUACUGGUUUUCUUGAGUGUGGAUGAAGUAGGCGGAAUUUGUGGUGUAGCGGUGAAAUGCAUAGAUAUCACAAGGAACACCGAUUGCGCAGGCAGCUUACUAAACCAUAACUGACGCUCAGGCACGAAGGCGUGGGGAGCAAACAGGAUUAGAUACCCUGGUAGUCCACGCAGUAAACGAUGAUUACUAGCUGUUUGCGAUACAAUGUAAGCGGCUGAGCGAAAGCGUUAAGUAAUCCACCUGGGGAGUACGUUCGCAAGAAUGAAACUCAAAGGAAUUGACGGGGGCCCGCACAAGCGGAGGAACAUGUGGUUUAAUUCGAUGAUACGCGAGGAACCUUACCCGGGCUUGAAAUGCAUCUGACCGGCCUUGAAAGAGGUUUUCCCUUCGGGGCAGAUGUGUAGGUGCUGCAUGGUUGUCGUCAGCUCGUGCCGUGAGGUGUCGGCUUAAGUGCCAUAACGAGCGCAACCCUCAUCAUUAGUUACCAUCAGGUAAGGCUGGGGACUCUAAUGAGACUGCCAUCGUAAGAUGUGAGGAAGGUGGGGAUGACGUCAAAUCAGCACGGCCCUUACGUCCGGGGCGACACACGUGUUACAAUGGGUGGUACAAAGGGCAGCUACCUGGCGACAGGAUGCUAAUCUCCAAAACCACUCUCAGUUA
Molecule: ribosomal RNA, 896 nt
Filed under: uncultured bacterium
Lineage: Bacteria
Description: bacterial SSU rRNA
Rfam family: Bacterial small subunit ribosomal RNA
Source: RNAcentral